RNAcentral lists this ribosomal RNA (1301 nucleotides) under Salmonella enterica. Its description in RNAcentral is "partial 23S ribosomal RNA". It matches the Rfam family "Bacterial large subunit ribosomal RNA", at positions 1523 to 2802 of the family's 2925-position model. Lineage: Bacteria; Pseudomonadati; Pseudomonadota; Gammaproteobacteria; Enterobacterales; Enterobacteriaceae. RNAcentral also lists the same sequence under 1 other name. The record is from RNAcentral.
GGUGUGUGUUCCAGGUAAAUCCGGUUCACUUUAACACUGAGGCGUGACGACGAGGCACUACGGUGCUGAAGCAACAAAUGCCCUGCUUCCAGGAAAAGCCUCUAAGCAUCAGGUAACAUCAAAUCGUACCCCAAACCGACACAGGUGGUCAGGUAGAGAAUACCAAGGCGCUUGAGAGAACUCGGGUGAAGGAACUAGGCAAAAUGGUGCCGUAACUUCGGGAGAAGGCACGCUGACACGUAGGUGAAGUGAUUUACUCAUGGAGCUGAAGUCAGUCGAAGAUACCAGCUGGCUGCAACUGUUUAUUAAAAACACAGCACUGUGCAAACACGAAAGUGGACGUAUACGGUGUGACGCCUGCCCGGUGCCGGAAGGUUAAUUGAUGGGGUCAGCGCAAGCGAAGCUCCUGAUCGAAGCCCCGGUAAACGGCGGCCGUAACUAUAACGGUCCUAAGGUAGCGAAAUUCCUUGUCGGGUAAGUUCCGACCUGCACGAAUGGCGUAAUGAUGGCCAGGCUGUCUCCACCCGAGACUCAGUGAAAUUGAACUCGCUGUGAAGAUGCAGUGUACCCGCGGCAAGACGGAAAGACCCCGUGAACCUUUACUAUAGCUUGACACUGAACAUUGAGCCUUGAUGUGUAGGAUAGGUGGGAGGCUUUGAAGUGUGGACGCCAGUCUGCAUGGAGCCGACCUUGAAAUACCACCCUUUAAUGUUUGAUGUUCUAACGUGGACCCGUUACCCGGGUUGCGGACAGUGUCUGGUGGGUAGUUUGACUGGGGCGGUCUCCUCCUAAAGAGUAACGGAGGAGCACGAAGGUUGGCUAAUCCUGGUCGGACAUCAGGAGGUUAGUGCAAUGGCAUAAGCCAGCUUGACUGCGAGCGUGACGGCGCGAGCAGGUGCGAAAGCAGGUCAUAGUGAUCCGGUGGUUCUGAAUGGAAGGGCCAUCGCUCAACGGAUAAAAGGUACUCCGGGGAUAACAGGCUGAUACCGCCCAAGAGUUCAUAUCGACGGCGGUGUUUGGCACCUCGAUGUCGGCUCAUCACAUCCUGGGGCUGAAGUAGGUCCCAAGGGUAUGGCUGUUCGCCAUUUAAAGUGGUACGCGAGCUGGGUUUAGAACGUCGUGAGACAGUUCGGUCCCUAUCUGCCGUGGGCGCUGGAGAACUGAGGGGGGCUGCUCCUAGUACGAGAGGACCGGAGUGGACGCAUCACUGGUGUUCGGGUUGUCAUGCCAAUGGCACUGCCCGGUAGCUAAAUGCGGAAGAGAUAAGUGCUGAAAGCAUCUAAGCACGAAACUUGCCCCGA